UACGUAGGGAGCAAGCGUUGUCCGGAAUUAUUGGGCGUAAAGAGCUCGUAGGCGGUCUGUUGCGUCCGCUGUGAAGACUCGGGGCUUAACCCCGAGCCUGCAGUGGAUACGGGCAGACUAGAGGUAGGUAGGGGAGAAUGGAAUUCCCGGUGUAGCGGUGAAAUGCGCAGAUAUCGGGAGGAACACCGGUGGCGAAGGCGGUUCUCUGGGCCUUACCUGACGCUGAGGAGCGAAAGCGUGGGGAGCGAACAGG
RNAcentral lists this ribosomal RNA (253 nucleotides) under uncultured bacterium. Its description in RNAcentral is "partial 16S ribosomal RNA". It matches the Rfam family "Bacterial small subunit ribosomal RNA", at positions 524 to 776 of the family's 1533-position model. The record is from RNAcentral.